CUAAAAAUAAAUUUCAUACGUAACACACUACUUUUAUGAUAGAAAUGUGCACUACUCAAGAUCGUGCAUCCAUGUGCAUUCCAAUUAACAUUGACGUGUUUCUAGAACAUAAACAGAUCUGCGAAGGUUAUUUUUUCAAGUGGUAACACUAUAUGGUUUGUUUUCGGAGAAUAUUCAAGCACCUCCUUAAAUUGUAAACAGUUUGAUUUUAAGAACUACCUUGCAGUCUAAGAGGAAUAUGAAAGGCAAAGAAUUUCAAGUCCUUUGUGUUGUGAUACUUUUGUUGUCCAACUGCCCCCUAGCGGGAGG
Saccostrea cuccullata (small rock oyster) is the source of this 309-nucleotide long non-coding RNA. RefSeq lists it as uncharacterized. Lineage: Eukaryota; Metazoa; Mollusca; Bivalvia; Ostreida; Ostreidae. The transcript is spliced from 3 exons. The record is from RefSeq and is a predicted model, not a curated record.